This 383-nucleotide ribosomal RNA is filed under the name uncultured bacterium. RNAcentral describes it as "bacterial SSU rRNA". It matches the Rfam family "Bacterial small subunit ribosomal RNA", at positions 28 to 416 of the family's 1533-position model. The record is from RNAcentral.
GUUGAACGCUGGCGGCAUGCCUUACACAUGCAAGUCGAACGGCAGCACGGGGCAACCCUGGUGGCGAGUGGCGAACGGGUGAGUAAUGCAUCGGAACGUGCCCCGUAGCGGGGAUAACCAGUCGAAAGACUGGCUAAUACCGCAUACGCUCCACAGAGGAAAGCAGGGAUCGCAAGACCUUGCACUAUGGGAGCGGCCGAUGCCCGAUUAGCUAGUUGGUGAGGUAAAGGCUCACCAAGGCGACGAUCGGUAGCUGGUUUGAGAGAACGACCAGCCACACUGGGACUGAGACACGGCCCAGACUCCUACGGGAGGCAGCAGUGGGGAAUUUUGGACAAUGGGCGCAAGCCUGAUCCAGCCAUGCCGCGUGCGGGAUGAAGGCC